RNAcentral lists this non-coding RNA (31 nucleotides) under Mus musculus (house mouse). Lineage: Eukaryota; Metazoa; Chordata; Mammalia; Rodentia; Muridae. The record is from RNAcentral.
UAAAUUGACUUGCGAUGUCCCAAUGGACAUG